UUUGACCAAUGAGCUUACAGACCACCAGGGGCGAAUGAGGGCUACCCUUUUUGUAAAGGUGUUUUUCCAAGCUAAUUAAAAAAUGUAUACAUUUGUUUAGUAAACUCUCUCAUGUUAUUCUGUCGUAUUUAUGCUCUUUCAAUAGAAAAUUGAAGUAAUUGGUGAAAAUGAAGAAGAUGAGGAUAAUGGUAACGACGUGGGUGAAUUUGCUGCUUCAGACCUAGAGCAAAUGCAGAACCUGUUGGAAUUCAAGCAUGAAGAAGUGCAGUUCUUGGAGAACGAGCUAGAGAAC
Molecule: long non-coding RNA, 292 nt
Organism: Cynoglossus semilaevis (tongue sole)
Lineage: Eukaryota; Metazoa; Chordata; Actinopteri; Pleuronectiformes; Cynoglossidae
Exons: 2
Source: RefSeq, a predicted model, not a curated record